Molecule: ribosomal RNA, 478 nt
Filed under: uncultured bacterium
Lineage: Bacteria
Description: partial 16S ribosomal RNA
Rfam family: Bacterial small subunit ribosomal RNA
Source: RNAcentral
GACGAACGCUGGCGGCGUGCUUAACACAUGCAAGUCGAACGGUAAGGCCCUUCGGGGUACACGAGUGGCGAACGGGUGAGUAACACGUGGGUGAUCUGCCCUGCACUUCGGGAUAAGACUGGGAAACUGGGUCUAAUACCGGAUAGGACCCUGGGAUGCAUGUCCUGGGGUGGAAAGCUUUUGCGGUGUGGGAUGGGCCCGCGGCCUAUUAGCUUGUUGGUGGGGUGGUGGCCUACCAAGGCGACGACGGGUAGCCGGCCAGAGAGUGUGACCGGCCACACUGGAAAUGAGGUACUGCCCAGAGUCCUACAGGAGGCAGCGGUGGGGAAUAUUGCACAAUGGGCGCAAGCCUGAUGCAGCGACGCCGCGUCAGGGAUGACGGACUUCGGGUUGUAAACCUCUUUCAGCACCGACGAAGCGCAAGUGACGGUAGGUGCAGAAGAAGGACCGACCAACUACGUGCCAGCAGCCGCAGUAA